RNAcentral lists this ribosomal RNA (460 nucleotides) under uncultured bacterium. Its description in RNAcentral is "bacterial SSU rRNA". It matches the Rfam family "Bacterial small subunit ribosomal RNA", at positions 339 to 796 of the family's 1533-position model. The record is from RNAcentral.
CUACGGGAGGCAGCAGUGAGGAAUAUUGGGCAAUGGGCGCAAGCCUGACCCAGCCAUGCCGCGUGAAGGAUGUAGGCGUCCUGCGUUGUAAACUUCUUUUAUCUGGGAAGAAACCUUAGAUUUCUAUUUAAGCCGACGGUACCAGAUGAAUUAGCACCGGCUAACUCCGUGCCAGCAGCCGCGGUAAUACGGAGGGUGCAAGCGUUAUCCGGAUUCACUGGGUUUAAAGGGUGUGUAGGCGGGCUAUUAAGUCAGUGGUGAAAUCUCCGGGCUCAACCCGGAAACUGCCGUUGAUACUAUUAGUCGUGAAUUCUGUUGAGGUGGGCGGAAUACAUCAUGUAGCGGUGAAAUGCUUAGAUAUGAUGUAGAACACCGAUUGCGAAGGCAGCUCACUAAGCAGCGAUUGACGCUGAGGCACGAAAGCGUGGGGAUCAAACAGGAUUAGAAACCCUUGUAGUCA